AUGCCGUUUUGACUCCAAUUUUCUCUCCUCCCAAAAUUCCCAAUCCCCCUCCCCCAAAUUCCGCAUUCAUUCAUAAUCAUAACCAUCGAGCCCUAACCCUCAUUCUCUUCACGCGUGACCAUGGAGCCUUUUUCCUAACCCCAUUUCCCAACCCAUCCAUGGAGCCUAACCCUCUCUCCUAGCCAGGCACUUUUCUCCCCUCACGCACGACGCCACCCUGACCAGCAACUGUCACCACACACCAGCCUCAGAGACACCUCGGCCCUCAGCAUAACUCCUCGGUUGAUGAUGGAUGAGUGACGACUGAUCCUCAGAGAUACCAGCUUCUCGGUGACUGGUGACGCUUUUCUUCUCGGUCUGGUCACCUUCUUCAUCUCUGUUAGCUUCGCCACUUCUUCUCUGCUCUCUUCUUCAAUCGUCCUCUUCUUCUCUUAUCAGGUGGUUUACUAUUUCUAUUUAAUUGAACGGUUUUAGGAUACUUUAGAAAGAAUGGGCAUAAUUGGAGAAAGAAAAAACAUGGAAAAACCGUGAAAGAAGCUCAUGAAAGAUUGAAGAGGUUGUGGCAUUUUUCAAUCAAAUUUAGGUGGGAAGUGUUGACGUGUUGCAUUGCUAUUAUGCCCAUGGUGAAAAAAAUGAAAAAUUUCAGAGACGAAGCUAUUAGAUGCUUGAACCGAUUCUGGCUGAAGUUGAAAACCUUGCAAGAUUCUGGUUGAAGUUGAAAACCUUGCUGCUGAUUAUAAUGAGGCUGAGCUUAUAUUUAAAUAAUUGGCUUAUUUUCUUAAUUUUUCUUUUUUGUUUCCUUGGACAUAAGUUGGCUUAUUAGUCAAGGCAAUCAAGUUUAUGUAUCUAUCUUACUUGUAUAUGUUCACUUUUAGUUGCUAGAAUUCCUUAGUUAUUUUUCUAUAUUUCAGGCUUUGGCAUCCUACCUCAUUAAACUUCAUGCAGAAUGUAGUUAAUGGAAACCAGAGUCCUCUUAAACUUCAUCCAGAAUGUAGUUAAUGGAAACCAGAGUUCUGUAAUAGCUGUUACCAAAGGAUGCCAGGUGAUUUUUUUUCAGUUGAUAGUUUAUUUAAUGCUUUAUUGUCAUAAUGAGUUCUUCCUUAUUCCUUCCUCCAGCAAGUUGGAACAUCUCACAAAUGCCUUAGACCGUGAAAAUUGGUCACUGGUUCAAUUCCUCAUGUCAUCUUCUUAUAGUGGAUAUGGAACCUCCAGCUUGCAAAAAGUAAAAAAGUUUAUAAAUGCUCCAGAAACAAUUAUGUCCCCGCGUCUUCCUCGGGGAAUUUUGUCCCCCAUCCACAUCCCGCGAGAAAAAUUUCCCACAGUCGGAUCCCAUUCGAGGCAGCUCCCACAGGGAUCCCUGCGUCUUGUAGAGUUUUGCAAUCCCUAGUUCAACUCCCCAAAGGAGGCAGAGACCUAUUGAUGACUGGAAAUUCGCACCACACAAAUUCUUUCGGCAAGUGUACCGAAUCGCCAAGUAAUAACUCACUGUUGAGUGAGGUCGAUCCCACAGGGAUUGAUGGAUUAAGCAACUUUAAUUAGGUGAUUCAUCUAGUCAAGCAAAUAUUUGAUGAUUUUGUGUAAUUGAGUGCACAAAAUGGUGAUUUACAAAGAAAGUAAAUGUACAGAAAGUAAAUUGCUGAAGAAUAAAGUGCUGAAAGUAAAUUGUGAAAUGUAAAUGGCAGAAACUUAAAUGACAAGAAAGUUAAAGAACUAAAACUUAAAUGACAAGAAAGUAAAAGCAAGAAUGUAAAUGGCAGUGAAAGAUAAAUUGCAUGAAAUGUAAAUGGGCUUUGGGUGCUGGGAAUCAAAGAUAAAAAGAAACUUAAAGCAAUUGAAAUGAAGAAUAACAAUGGGUGAGAUUCAUUAAGGAUUGGAGAUGUUAUAAUCCUUCAUGAAUCAAUGAGUCUCAACUUCAUUCUCAAUCAUAUGAAGUAGAUCUAUGGCGGAUUAUAAUUAAUUGAGUUCUAAUUCCUUGGCAACCCAAUUUCUCUUAACACAAUUAAUUGCCAAUUCCUUGAUCUAAGUGUUCAAGAGAAGAGGUUUAGUUCAAUUCUCUAAUCCAUAAGCCACACAAGCUCUUAGGAUCUCAAUUCAAACCAAGAAUUUAUUGAUUAAAAGACUUUUGAGGGAAAAAGCUUCAAAUUGAAUUCUAUGAUCCCUCUUCCAACGCUCACAUAGAGAUUCAAGUAGACCUAAAUUCCCUUCCGGUAGUGAAUAGAUCUAUCAUGCACAGAAAUUUUUUCUUAGCUACAACAAGCGGAUUGAGAAGAAGAAAAUUUUCAUUCAUUCAUUUGAAUUACAAUAGAGCUUCUCCCCCUAAUGAUGAGGGGUUUAGUUGAUCAUUGCUCUGGAAAACUUACGAAGAAAAAGAAAGUACAUAAAAAGUAAACUAAGUAAAAAGAAGAAAGGAAAAAUGAUUCAGAGUUUCCUAAUUCAGAUCCUCUUGUGUAAGAGUUCGUCCUUUCUUCAAGUUCAAAACUUUUCCUAUAUAUGCUACUUUUGUGAUCUUCAAAUGAGUCUUCAAAUACUUGGAUGUGGGCCCUUUGGCCUUAGUUAAAACAAGUUAGGAGUGGUCCUUUCUGAAGUUAACACUGGUGUUAGCUUACUAAUGCUUUCAUACUUGCAUGAGUGCCCUGAAACUGGCGUUGGUACUGGCAUUAACAGCAUUUCUAAUGCCACAAUUCUCUUCCAAGCUGGCAUUAGUGUGCUAACGCUGCCACUAACGCUAGCGCCUGUUGUGCGUAUGCAUGUUGACUCGUGCGUGCGCAUCCUUGUAAUUUUUAUCUCUUGUGCCUGCGCAUAUUGCUUCGUGUGUGCACAUCCUGGUGAGUUUAGCCACUUAUGCGUACGCACACUGCUUCGUACGUGCGCACACUCACCAAUUUUUCUCUGGUGCGUACGCACACUAGCCAUAUCUUCCAGCCCCAACUUCGUGCAAUGAUCGAAGACGAUAGUGUGCUAACAUUGGUAGCGUUAGCACACUAACUUUGGCACCUUCUUCCUUGGGCAAUGGCGUUGGUGAGCUAACUUUGGCCACUAACGUUGCCAUUCUUCUUGAGUCAUGUUAGCACUGGCGUUAGUGGGCUAACUUGGCCACUAAUGCCAGCUUCUUCUUCCUCCUUGGCAACGUUAGCAUUGGCAUUAGUGGGUUAACUUUGCCACUAAUGCCAGCUUCUUCCUUGUAAAGCACGUUAGCACUGGCAUUAGUGAGCUAACUUGGCCAGUAACGCCAGCACCCUCCAUUAUUGAGCCAGCGUUAUCGCUAGCGUUAGUGAGCUAACUUUGGCCACUAAUUUCAGCACCCUCCUUGGUUGAGCGUUAACUAUGGCGUUAGUGUGCUAACUUAGCCACUAACGCCACAGCCUCUCUGCUUCUUCUCUACUUCUCCUCUGCUUCUCUUUGCCUAUCAUCAAUCAAACAAGUACAUCAAAGCUUUGUCAUAAUCACAAGAUAUUGCCUCAUUCAAUGCAUCAAGUAGUUCUUGCAUAAAUCUCAUGCAAAUGAUUAUAUUUCACUAAUGUUUGAUGAAUCAAGGUAUGCAUAGAUAACUCAUCCAAAUGCUUACUUAAUGAUGAAAAGUAUAGAAAAUGGCUUGUGAAACUAGCCAAAGAUGCCUAGGCGUCACAACACCAAACUUAAAUCUUGCUUGUCCCCAAGCAAGUAGUAAAAUAUAAGAAGAAUGAAUGAAAACACAAAGAGAUAUAAGCCCUUAUUGAAAUAUAUUCAAUCUUGGUUCAUGGAGUUUCAUGCAUGACAUCUUUGAAGUUCAUAUUCUUAUUGGUUUCCAAGUUAUAGCAACCCUUUAAAUACUAACUUUGCU
This is a long non-coding RNA of Arachis stenosperma, 3820 nucleotides long. RefSeq lists it as uncharacterized. Lineage: Eukaryota; Viridiplantae; Streptophyta; Magnoliopsida; Fabales; Fabaceae. The transcript is spliced from 5 exons. The record is from RefSeq and is a predicted model, not a curated record.